AUCCUUUAUGGUUCAUAAAUGAUGAUUGGGUUUUCAUGCUGCUGUGUGAGAUGUAUCUCCCUCAAACUUAUAUAAGUUAUACACCAUAAUGUAUAAUGACUUUGUUAUGAUGUCACCAUAUGAAUGACCCAGCUGAUG
Small nucleolar RNA from Callithrix jacchus (white-tufted-ear marmoset), 138 nucleotides. Lineage: Eukaryota; Metazoa; Chordata; Mammalia; Primates; Cebidae. The record is from Ensembl.